RNAcentral lists this small RNA (475 nucleotides) under Pongo abelii (Sumatran orangutan). RNAcentral describes it as "processed transcript". The record is from RNAcentral. Lineage: Eukaryota; Metazoa; Chordata; Mammalia; Primates; Hominidae.
CCAUUUUGUUUUGGACUGUUAAGUGGGCUUGUGGUGGAGCGUUGGUGUGUCAGGGGUGUCGACUUCUUCCACAAACUAUUUAAGAGACAGCAGCAGGAGGGACUGGACUGGAUUGUAGAAAACUUCAAGAGUUAAGGAGUGCGGAGUGCUGCUCAGGUGCCUUUGUUUCAGGUCAUAGUCUCUGCUCUAUACAGCAGCCAACCACAGGGGUUGAUUGGGUCUCUGUUACCCAAGCUGAAGUGUAGUGAUGCAAUCACAGCUCACUGCAGCCUUGACCUCCUGAACUCAAGUGAUCCUCCCACCUCAGCCUCCUAACUGCGGCUACAGAUUCCCUGUCUCUGCUUUAACCUGGGCUGCUUGCUAAGUGCUUGCCUCUCAGGAUCCUUGUGGAGAAUUGGACCUGUGGUCAUGGAUGUUCCCAGGAUGACCUUGACCCAACAAUGAUUGUUGGAAUAAUCAAUGGCAAGAAUUAACU